AGGUAGGUUGGCAGGUAAGUAGUUAGGUAGUGUAUAUGUCUAUGUUUAUGUAUCUAAAUGACUAAGUAUGUAAUCGUCCAGGCAGGCAGGUAUAGGUAGGUGAUCCGUAGGUGUAACUAUGUCUACGUGUGUAUAUGUUUCUGAGGUAUUAAGUCUGUACGUAGGUACGGGUUAUCAGGAAGACCGCGUUUCCCCACGGUUCAUGCACGUGGAAACAAAUGCAGGCUACGCGCGUGGCGGGGCGGGGCGGAGCGAGGCGCGCGCGCGUGUGUGUGUGUGUGUGUGUGUGUGUGUGUGUGUCGUGAGGUGAGUGCCAGCCAGGUGCGUAGGUGCAGCGUCUGGUUCAGGUCGCCUUGGUCAUGGCAGCGAACGGGAGGCUGUGUGUGUUUCCGUGUGAGGUGACCGGCAUGGCAGCGGAUGGAAUGGACAACUAACGGAGGAAAGGGAGGAAAAGGAAUGGAGGAACGGAGGAAACGGAGAGAGAGACUGAUGGAUGCCGGAGGGGUGGUGACAACCCUGGGUCUGCCCCACCCCUACCUGCCCACCCCUACCCUGGGAGGCGACAGGGACAGCAGCAGCCUGGAGCAUGGGCCAGUGUCCACGAGCCUCAAGGUAGUAAAUAGGUAAGUAUGUAUGCUUUUCUUGUGGAUUUUGAUGGUUACUGUGGUGUUUACUAGAUAGAUAGAUAGAUAGGCAGAUAGAUUACAAUGGCUUCAUGUGCCUAUCCUCCACAGCCUGCCUCCUGGGUGGCUGCCCGUCUCUUGAAACUUCAACUGAGUUACUUGCCUUCCCUUAAUCUAUGAGAGCCAUGCAGAGUUGUUUGCUGCACUUUCCUGUAGUUAGCAUAAACUGUAAAAACAGCCUUUUCUCUUGGCUUGUUUGAGUCUAGUGUUGCACUUAUUUGCUUGCUAUGAUUUUAGUGAAAUCCUGGGAGAAGUGAAUUGUGGUAACCCAACUGUCACACUGGCCCUGUGUUGGGCUAAUGGGUUCUCUCCCACCACAGGCUCAGAGGACCAAUAGGACAGAGAUGAACACUGCCACACAGCUAUGUAGUGCAUACUCCCAACUUUACCUUCAUUCCAAAACUUACCUUCAGCAGUGGAACUCUUGCCAGAUAAGACAACUUGGAGACUUAUUUUCAGAUUUACUUUGGAGGCUCAUAAAAGUUGUUAUAUUAAUUGCC
This is an RNA transcript of Eriocheir sinensis (Chinese mitten crab), 1183 nucleotides long. RefSeq lists it as uncharacterized. NCBI's taxonomy places the organism in Eukaryota, Metazoa, Arthropoda, Malacostraca, Decapoda, Varunidae. The transcript is spliced from 3 exons. The record is from RefSeq and is a predicted model, not a curated record.